Non-coding RNA from Cercophora newfieldiana, 91 nucleotides. The record is from the annotation of a GenBank genome assembly. Lineage: Eukaryota; Fungi; Ascomycota; Sordariomycetes; Sordariales; Lasiosphaeriaceae.
GGUUUCGUGGUCUAGAGGUAUGAUUCUCGCUUAGGGUAACUCCCUGAGUCAAACUUGCGAGAGGUCCCGGGUUCAAUCCCCGACGAAACCC